Molecule: small nucleolar RNA, 87 nt
Organism: Coffea eugenioides
Lineage: Eukaryota; Viridiplantae; Streptophyta; Magnoliopsida; Gentianales; Rubiaceae
Product: small nucleolar RNA snoR53Y
Exons: 1
Source: RefSeq, a predicted model, not a curated record
GUUCCCUGUGAUGUUCUUAUCCAAACCAUGCUAAUUCUGAAUCAUUUUUUGAUUGAAAUUUGUAAAUUAUCAUUUUCUGAGGGAACA